Long non-coding RNA from Anser brachyrhynchus (Pink-footed goose), 1664 nucleotides. The record is from Ensembl. Lineage: Eukaryota; Metazoa; Chordata; Aves; Anseriformes; Anatidae.
AUGUCUUGUUGUUUUGGAAUCAAGCUUCCCAAAAAUAUCUUUCCUGUAAGUAUUGGGGUAAACGGUCAUACAUGUCAUUGUGUGUGUUUGCCUUCAUUUCCUUGCAGCAGGAAUCUAGUGCUGGGUGAUCACUGCUACGAGGGGUUGCUUUCCUUCAUGCCCUCUGACCCGUUCUGCCAAAGCCUCUUCCAGCAUGUGCCACAAGCCCACCUGUUCCAGAGACACAAAUGGGACCAGUUGCCUCUAGGAGCAGUUAUCUUGACACAAAACUGUCCGUACAGCGCUGCUGGAAAAAGGGUAUAACAGUGGAGAAGCUGAGAUACUCAUCUGAGUGGAAAAAAGCAAGAAGUUGAGGAGUUGCUGAUAUUUAUGUCAUAGUCCAGAUGAGAAGAAACUAAACGAAGUUUAAAUUAUUCCAUGGUUCAAUUUACAGAAUCUGAGGCCCCAGGGCUGAGAGAGGACUGCAUUACAAAGGGCAACUGGGAGACCAGAGCCGUGAGCUACGCUUCAGGUUGUUCAAAGCAGCUGGCUGGUUGCUUACAGACAUUUCAGGGGGAGGGUUCCUGUUGUCAGCCGACUGAAGUUGGCCUCUGCUGUCACAAGGAUGAUUGGUAAGAAAAAUUCUGUGUCAGCUUUUAUUUGAACUAGAGCACAUGCUAGAAGAAGGCUGUUCACCAGUCCAGAGGUGGCACCAGCAGAGGGGACCACCCUUAGGGUUCUUCAGCACUUUUCCACCUUACCGUUUAAUAUGCAAUAGAUGGAGUGUGAGGACUUUUCUUCUAGUGUUCCUGCAAAAAGUGCAAUUUCUAAAUUUCAAAUUACAUUGUCACCACUGAAAAGUAUAUAUUGCUAGUUUUGCUGCGUUUGGGAAAGCAGAAAUAUAGAGAGAGAUGCACCACAGAAACAUAGCUGAAUUGCUGUAAAAACAUGCAGCUCUUAAUGAGGAAAGGCAGCAGCUCCUCAUGCCCACAGUACUUCUCAAACAGAUGAAUGGGUCUCCAUUGGCAGCCCCCAGGCAGUUUCUACCAGGGGAGCCUGGUAGCAAUUCCCACCCGCUGGUUUCAGAUGUGCCACCUAGCACCAUCCCGGUAUUGAAUCAGGUGAAGACCCAGGUCACAUCUCUCCUGGAAAGCUAGACAUGUGGAGGAGUCACAGUGCUCUCAGGAGAUCCCAUAACCAAGGUGACUGAGAACCAAGAUGUGCUGUGGUCUUGCUGUGGAGUACAUCUGUCUUUCUGGGUACACGUAGUUAGCCAUUGAUGCCCCAAAACUGAAGGCAUGGCUAUUACCCAGGAAGUGCGUCUAUACAGGUAAGGAGAAAAUAACAUCUAGGAGACUUGUUUUGAAAUUGCAGUGGCAGCCAGAAAGACUGCCUUUUGUCACACCUUACGUUGCUUUCAUAAAAUAUUCAUAGAAACAUGUGAAUGGUGAGCCGUAACCAAAGCACGUUUUAUUUCUAAAUGCAGCAUUCUCCCAGUCAAGGGAGAUGCAUGGCAGGUUUCCUUACAGCAGCAGAAGUUGUAAGACAGCUAGCUAUCCGGUCAGAAUUAACCUAGAAGUGAAGUCUUCAUAUCAGUAGGAACUAUGUAUUGGCUUGGAUUUUAUUUCCUCUUUGUACCCUUGUUUUGUCCCAAACUGUAUGCAAUAAAAUAGGUUAAUUAUUCA